Molecule: ribosomal RNA, 253 nt
Filed under: uncultured bacterium
Lineage: Bacteria
Description: partial 16S ribosomal RNA
Rfam family: Bacterial small subunit ribosomal RNA
Source: RNAcentral
UACGUAGGGGGCGAGCGUUGUCCGGAAUUACUGGGCGUAAAGAGCUCGUAGGUGGUUUGUCGCGUUGUUCGUGAAAACUCACAGCUUAACUGUGGGCGUGCGGGCGAUACGGGCAGGCUGGAGUACUGCAGGGGAGACUGGAAUUCCUGGUGUAGCGGUGGAAUGCGCAGAUAUCAGGAGGAACACCGGUGGCGAAGGCGGGUCUCUGGGCAUUAACUGACGCUGAGGCGCGAAAGCGUGGGGAGCGAACAGG